AGAGGCCGUGGCUUAGUGGUAGAGCAUAGUCUUUGAUGCAGAAGGUGCCAGGUUCAAUUCCUGACACCUCCA
Molecule: transfer RNA, 72 nt
Filed under: Sphaerodactylus townsendi
Lineage: Eukaryota; Metazoa; Chordata; Lepidosauria; Squamata; Sphaerodactylidae
Description: tRNA-Ile
Source: RNAcentral